This 21-nucleotide microRNA is filed under the name Ictalurus punctatus (channel catfish). RNAcentral's name for it is "ipu-miR-7574". The record is from miRBase by way of RNAcentral. Lineage: Eukaryota; Metazoa; Chordata; Actinopteri; Siluriformes; Ictaluridae.
UUUAUCUCUACUCGCUCGUCU